Dermacentor andersoni is the source of this 4510-nucleotide non-coding RNA. NCBI's taxonomy places the organism in Eukaryota, Metazoa, Arthropoda, Arachnida, Ixodida, Ixodidae. The record is from RefSeq and is a predicted model, not a curated record.
CUCAAGUUCAACAAAUGGCCACAGAGGGCGAAAAAAUCGACCGCGCGGCGCUGCUAAAGAAACAGGCAUAGUAGACCAAUUAAAAAGGUUCCCCGUUGAGCACAUUAUCUCCCGCUAGAGGCGCCGUAGUAAGCGCAAUUUUAACCUACAAACUUUCUUCAACAGUAAACGAAGCGCUUUUAUUGCAUGAUAAAGACUACAAAAUUAUAAUUCCUAAUUUUACAUUGUACUUUUUAUUACCAACUUUGUUGUUUUUUGUCAUUUUGAACGCAAAAUAGCGUUCAGCAUCAUCCACCUCCCACGUGACCUCUGGCCUGAAUUUAAAAUUUUUACCGGUAUGUUCGCGUGCGCGGCAGGUACGGAUUCCUUGGUUCGUACAUUGGUUGGUUAUUUUGUGCUAACACCAGUUUACUGCGCUUCGAUGUCUCGCGUUAUUUAAUUUGAGGUGUAAGCCUGAAGGCUAGGUUUCAGUCGUGAGCCAUGUGGAACACGUCUGCAUCGAAAUGGGAGCCGGGUCCUGCUGCAACUGGGGACAGCAAUACCGGUGAGUCGUUUAACAUCACUGCUUCAAUCGCUAUGUAAUUUAUUCGUCUCGUUAACUUACAGGCGGAGGUAAGUUAACGAACUAGAUGCUGCAUUACAUAAGGGCAGUCAGGACCCUCCGUUGCUGUUUCCGAAAUAAACUUUCAGUUGCGAGGCCAUCAUUAUACACACAUUCACGAAAGAGAAACGAUAUCGGAACGCGCGUCACAUUUUUCAUCUCGUUGUAGCCGUAGCCAUAAGUGACUGAGUUGCCUUAUCAAUAUAUAUAUAUAUAUUUUCGAGUCCGCCGGCAACUUCUUUCGUUCACAGAACCGAAUAACCUUUUGAUAAACUGAAGCUAAAGUACUGAAUUUAAUGUAUUAAACAGUUGCACACAUGAUAAUUCACCCAUAUUUCGUACCUGUUGGUUCCAAAUGUUCUUGCUGUUCAGUUUGGCUUACCUCAGGACAUCUAUUUUUGCAGUAGUGAAGCGGUGCAUCACGUUCAUGCACAAAAAAAUUUCUAAUAGCUUCAUGUCUUUCAUCUCUUUGCUUGUGAAAUCAGCAGUGUGAUCUCCUGUAGUGUAUAAACGAGCGCACAAAUGUACUUAUUUGUGAUCUUAAUAAUACUUAAGCUGUUGACAUGCAUUGUAGUUACGCAGACAACAAUUUUACGGAGAGUAACCAUAUUUAUUUACCAUGCUGCUUAAGCACCCUAGAACAAACAGUGUACAUUUGCAUGUGUUCUGUAGUCACAAACCAUUGCAAUGUAUAUGUCGCACCUUUACGCAUUUUAUAUUGCAAAAUUGUGCUUAUUCAAUUUCUGAUGCAGUCAAAAUUUCUGUUCCAGACAUGCAGUAAUGAGGAUGGCACCAGUAUAAAGCAACACACUCCAUGCACUAAACAGAAGCUGCUGCCUGCUACAACAAGGUCAUUGUAUGGACUUUGGCUGCUACUACAAGAGUCUGUGCCAAGUACAUCUUGGUCAUCACGGGAGCCCCCAUCUACACCAACAGGAAGGGGCUGGAGCUGAAUUCGCAAGACCACAAACAAAGAAGCCAUUCCAGAAUUAUUUGGAUGAGAUAUCAAGUCUACGGACGACUGUUUCAAGAGUGAAAAGAGCCUACGCCAUCAUUCCACCAGCACGGAUAUUGGCCGAGUCAUCCAGGUACCUCAACAACCAAAAUUAUUUGUCUUCAGAUGUACCUGCAACCUCUGAAUAAGCACAGAUGACGCUGGCUAAGAGUGUUCUGUCAGCUUGCCCUUCCUUAGUGAGCUUCCUGGCCUUGCCAGUUCUUGCCAAGUAUAAUUUUGUUUCAAUGAAUGCAAGCUUUUUCAUUCCACACUUUUGUUAGAGAUCAUUCCUAUUCCUCAUACAAACAAUAAAGGUCAACCGAUUCUUUGCUCAUACUUAAUGCCAGUCACUGUCUAGUAGCAUAACAUAUGUGUAGCAGUUCUUUCUAGUGUAUGUUGCCAUGUGCAAUUCCUCUCCUGAAAUAGCUGAUGCAGCAUUGGCGUGUGUCUUGCAUUAACCUUUACACUGUGUGCUAUGUAGCAUUUAACUUUUGUUAAUGUUUUUGGCUUUCAAUGCUUGCAAGGUAGAGUGGCUUCUUUCUUGAAUGCAAGCUUUCUCGUUCCCAUAUUGAAUUCCUAGUCUCAUUCAGGAUUGCUAUUCUUGCUCGACAGCCUGUGUUUUUGUGAAAGCUACAUUGAAGUGAUUGAUUGCAGAAUCUGGUUUCGGCGCUGUCCGACUUGGUACUUGUCACCGUGUUACAUUUCUCAUAUGUGGGAGCCUGGUCAGUUGCAUUGGGAAACAGUCUCUCGAGGCAAGCACCUGCUCCUACAGUCCGCACAGUGACAUAGACUGCGAAUUUACACGCGCACCGUGGUUGGUGCUCCCCGUUCCGUCCUUUCCUGCUGCUGCCGUGUGCAAAUUUUGCUUGUGGUCUUCCUCGGCCAUGAUUUGGCGUCAACGGAGACUCUCAUACAUAAUUACAUGGUUCUAAGUGUAUGAAGUUGAUAUCCACAUGUGUGGAAAGGCCUGCAAAAGUUACUGCAACAUAGUGAUGUUCACAAAACCGACCAUGCCCAUAUAUAGAGAAUGUGGGGGACCAAGUGUGAGUUACACAUUAGUGGCAUGCAAAAGAACAAAAAGAAACAUGCAGGUUGGAAAGGCGGUAACGCUAAAAUGCCGGGCACUCCAUGUCGCUGUUGGCUGUGGCAGCAGAUGCUUGCGUCACCCGAUUGCUUCGCAAUGCAAGCUGCUCAUAUUCAACGCCGACUGUCGGUGCAAACAUGUGGGACACACUGUCCAAUCUGCUUGCGCUGCUGGUUGUUGCUUGUUACCAGACUGCAGUGUGCGACGAAGGCAAGCACUAUGCCUACAGUCGGACGGUUGAAUGUGCCGCAAGCAACCCGUGUGCGUGUAUGCUCACUGUUGUCAUGUAGAUCGUAGCCAAUGCAUAGUGCCAAUGUAUAGAUUGAGCAUUAUGUUAGAGUAUGCUGAAGUGAUUUGAUUGCAUAAUCUUGUUUCAAUGUUGUCCCACUUGGUCAUGGUUGCCGUGUUACAUUUCUGGGAUGUGGCAGCCUGUUCAGUUGUAUUGGCCAAUGGCCUCUCGAGGUAAGCACCUGCUCCUGCAGUCCACACAGUGACACAAACUCCCUGUUUACAUGUAGUGUGAUUGGUGCUCCCUGUUUGUCCUUUCCUGCUGCAGCCGUGGGUAAAGCAUGCUUGUGGCCUUCUUUGGCCAUGAUUUGGCGUGAACAGAGACUAUCAUACAUGAUUACAUGGUUUGAAGUGUAUGAAGUUGAUAUCCACAUGGGUGGAAAGGCCUGUAAAAGUGGCUGCGAAAUGGCGAUUCCCACAAAACAGACCACAUCCAUAUUGAGAGCAGGUGGGGCACCAAGUGUGAGCAACACAUUAGUGGCCACCGAAAGAACAAAAUGAAACGUGCAUGUAGGAAAGGAGGUAACACUAGGAUGCCGAGUAGUUCAUGUCGCUGUGUUGGCUAUGGCAGCAGGUGCCUGCGUCACCCGAUUGAUUCGCAGUACAAGUUACGGUGACUGUCAGUGUAAACAGGUGGGGCACUGUCCAAUCUGCUUGUGCUGCUGGUUGUCACUCGUUACUAGACCACCAUGUGCGACGUAGGCAAGCACUGUGCCUGAAGUCGGAUAGCUGAAUAAGCUGUAUGCAAUUCGUAGUGCGUGAAUGCCCACUGUUGUCAUAUGUAUCUUAGCCAAUGUACAGCGUAUUGUCUGAACCUUAUGCGGUGAUUGAAUGCAGUCUAAUUUGAUAAUGGUCGCCGUGUUCUGUUUCUUCGAUGUGGCGACCUGGUUAGCUGCAUGGGCAACAGUCUCCUGAGGUAACCAUCUGCUCCUGCAGUCCACACAGCGACAAAGACUCCCAAUUUACAUGCACCGUAAUUGGUGCUCUCCCCAUUCGACAUUUCUUGCUGCAGCCGCCGGCAAAUUAUGCUUGUGGGCCUUCAUCGGCCGUUAUGUGGCGUGAGCGGAGACAGCACACGUUAUUACAUGGUCCGAAGUUGAUAGCCACAUAGGUGGAAAGGCCUGCAAAACUGGCUGCAAAAUGGUGAUGCCCACAUUGAGAAUGUGGGGCACCAACUAUGAGUUACACAUUAGCGGCCACCGAAAGAACAAAAAGAAACGUGCAGGUUGGAAAGGCGGGAACGCUAAAAUGCCGUUUAGUCCAUGUCGCUGUGUUGGUUGCGGCAGCAGAUGCCUUGCGUCACCCGAUUGCUUCGCAAUGUAAGUUACGGCGACUGUUAAAGCAAACAGGUGGUGCACUGCCCAAUUUGCUUGCGCUACUGAUUGUCGCUCGUUACCAGAUCGCAUGUGCGGCGACGAAAGUGAGCAGUUUACGAGCUCUCGUUAAUGGUUUCAGCGCAUCUCGACAUGCAAAUUUUAUUUCUGAUCUUGUAUGUGAAGGUGCACUGCUUUUCUUCUGCCAAUAAAGUCGCACGUCCUGUUCA